GAGAGCCUGGGCAGGCAGCAGCUGGCUGACCAAGUCCACUGGAAGAGAAGGCUUGUGCCAGCCGGGAGAAGGAAGCCGGGGACAGGAUGAAAGCAACAACACCUUUGCAGACAGUCGACCGGCCGAAGGACUGGUACAAGACGAUGUUUAAGCAAAUUCACAUGGUGCACAAGCCGGGUCUGUACAACCCACCCUACAGUGCUCAGUCACACCCUGCUGCAAAGACCCAAACCUACAGACCUCUUUCCAAAAGCCACUCCGACAACAGCACCAAUGCCUUUAAGGAUGCGUCCUCCCCAGUGCCUCCCCUACAUGUUCCACCUCCAGUCCCACCGCUUCGACCAAGAGAUCGGUCUUCAACAGAAAAGCAUGACUGGGACCCUCCAGACAGAAAAGUGGACACAAGAAAAUUUCGGUCUGAGCCAAGGAGUAUUUUUGAAUAUGAACCUGGCAAGUCAUCAAUUCUGCAGCAUGAAAGACCAGUUACCAAGCCUCAAGCUUCCUGAUUGAUUGUCAUUCUAAUGGAUCAAGAUUAUAUUUCACUUUGCAGGAUUUUUUCUAAUUAUUUAAU
This 571-nucleotide small RNA is filed under the name Pongo abelii (Sumatran orangutan). Its description in RNAcentral is "processed transcript". Lineage: Eukaryota; Metazoa; Chordata; Mammalia; Primates; Hominidae. The record is from RNAcentral.